AUACGUAGGGGGCGAGCGUUGUCCGGAAUGAUUGGGCGUAAAGGGCGCGUAGGCGGCCCGGUAAGUCUGGAGUGAAAGUCCUGUUUUUAAGAUGGGAAUUGCUUUGGAUACUGUCGGGCUUGAGUGCAGGAGAGGUAAGUGGAAUUCCCAGUGUAGCGGUGAAAUGCGUAGAGAUUGGGAGGAACACCAGUGGCGAAGGCGGGUAACUGGACUGCAACUGACGCUGAGGCGCGAAAGUGUGGGGAGCAAACAGGAUUAGAUACCCUGGUAGUCCACACUGUAAACGAUGAUGGCUAACCGCUGGAUCCAUCGGUUCAGUGGCCAAGCGAAAGCGAUAAGCCAUCCACCUGGGGAGUACGACCGCAAGGUUGAAACUCAAAGGAAUUGACGGGG
RNAcentral lists this ribosomal RNA (393 nucleotides) under uncultured bacterium. RNAcentral describes it as "partial 16S ribosomal RNA". It matches the Rfam family "Bacterial small subunit ribosomal RNA", at positions 523 to 918 of the family's 1533-position model. The record is from RNAcentral.